This 467-nucleotide ribosomal RNA is filed under the name Propionibacterium sp. canine oral taxon 296. RNAcentral's name for it is "bacterial SSU rRNA". It matches the Rfam family "Bacterial small subunit ribosomal RNA", at positions 9 to 495 of the family's 1533-position model. Lineage: Bacteria; Bacillati; Actinomycetota; Actinomycetes; Propionibacteriales; Propionibacteriaceae. The record is from RNAcentral.
GAGUUUGAUUAUGGCUCAGGACGAACGCUGGCGGCGUGCUUAACACAUGCAAGUCGAACGGUAAGGCCCUUCGGGGUACACGAGUGGCGAACGGGUGAGUAACACGUGAGUAACCUGCCCCUAACUCUGGGAUAACGACUGGAAACGGUUGCUAAUACUGGAUAUGAAUCGGGCCUGCAUGGGUCUGGUUGGAAAGCUCUGGCGGUUGGGGAUGGGCUCGCGGCCUAUCAGCUUGUUGGUGAGGUAGUGGCUCACCAAGGCUUCGACGGGUAGCCGGCCUGAGAGGGCGACCGGCCACAUUGGGACUGAGAUACGGCCCAAACUCCUACGGGAGGCAGCAGUGGGGAAUAUUGCACAAUGGGCGGAAGCCUGAUGCAGCAACGCCGCGUGCGGGAUGACGGCCUUCGGGUUGUAAACCGCUUUCAGUCGGGACGAAGCGUGAGAGACGNACCGACAGAAGAGCACCG